GAGGGUAUAGCUCAGUGGUAGAGUACAUGCUUAGCAUGCAGAAUAAGGUCCUGGGUUCAAUCCCCAGUACCUCCA
This 75-nucleotide transfer RNA is filed under the name Camelus bactrianus (Bactrian camel). It matches the Rfam family "tRNA". From Rfam's summary of the family: Transfer RNA (tRNA) molecules are approximately 80 nucleotides in length. Their secondary structure includes four short double-helical elements and three loops (D, anti-codon, and T loops). RNAcentral also lists the same sequence under 2 other names. The record is from Rfam by way of RNAcentral. Lineage: Eukaryota; Metazoa; Chordata; Mammalia; Artiodactyla; Camelidae.